AUCUGCCGCAAAUCAGCCACGAUGCAUUGCAACGGGCACGUUCAGUGGGCUGCGCGGCCGUUGCGACGAGCUGCAUUGCUGAUUCUUCGCUUGCCUGAGACUCGCAAUUGUCGAGCGGGUUGCAUCCGUUGUUACGUUGCCCGAAGACCGCAGUAAAUGUGAUUUGCAGGGUGCAAGCAACGUGUCAUUGUGGUUAGAAAAAAUGAAUCAGUAUACAUGUGAUUUAACUGUCAAAGCCGGAAUUUUUAAAGCAUACAUCCCGCCCAAGGCAUGCUGGGAUGAUCUCCUAUCAGGCAGCUUGGAAACUUCCAGACGCCGAUAUGCCUUACGUUCGGUGCAGCCGAGGUUAUGAACUGUCAAGUGGAAUAUGCCCCUUGAGGAAAACAAUUAGGAUCGACUGUCCAGCGAGGAGAUUGCGGAAUCAGCAACUGACAUAUUGACUGAUGAAACAUGAUGGUGCGUGCAGCAAGAGAGGGUUUGACUGCAGAUCCUGACCACCUGCUCCUGUAAAUUUGUACCAACCACAGG
Long non-coding RNA from Rhipicephalus sanguineus (brown dog tick), 528 nucleotides. RefSeq lists it as uncharacterized. Lineage: Eukaryota; Metazoa; Arthropoda; Arachnida; Ixodida; Ixodidae. The record is from RefSeq and is a predicted model, not a curated record. The transcript has 4 exons.